RNAcentral lists this long non-coding RNA (455 nucleotides) under Salmo salar (Atlantic salmon). RNAcentral describes it as "lncRNA (ENSSSAG00000096479.1)". The record is from RNAcentral. Lineage: Eukaryota; Metazoa; Chordata; Actinopteri; Salmoniformes; Salmonidae.
CUCUUCUCUUUUAUAGUUUUUUUCAUAAUGCGAAUUCCUUGGUCUUGUGUAGCCUCUCCCUUGUGGAAUCAGAUAAAAGACCUUGGUUGAAUCCCAAAUGGCAUCCUAUUUGCUACGUAGAGCCCCAUGUCCUGGGGAGAGAGCCCAGCCCUGGAGGUAGCUAUGUCCUGGGGAGAGAGACCAGCCCUGGAGGUAGCUAUGUCCUGGGAAGAGACCAGCCCUGGAGGUAGCUAUGUCCUGGGAAGAGACCAGCCCUGGAGGUAGCUAUGUCCUGGGGAGAGAGACCAGCCCUGGAGGUAGCUAUGUCCUGGGGAGAGAGCCCAGCCCCAGGAGAGAAGAGUGGGGGCAACAGAGAGAGAGAAACAGAGAGAGGAAAAGGGAGAGUAAGAUAGAAAGAAACCACCUAAAAGGAAGCAAUUCCCAAACCUUCCAUAACAAAGCCAUCACCUACAGAG